This 471-nucleotide ribosomal RNA is filed under the name uncultured bacterium. RNAcentral's name for it is "bacterial SSU rRNA". It matches the Rfam family "Bacterial small subunit ribosomal RNA", at positions 330 to 793 of the family's 1533-position model. The record is from RNAcentral.
CUAUCACUCCUACGGGAGGCAGCAGUGGGGAAUAUUGCACAAUGGGGGAAACCCUGAUGCAGCCAUGCCGCGUGUGUGAAGAAGGCCUUCGGGUUGUUAAAGCACUUUCAGUAGGGAGGAAGGUAGUGUAGUUAACACCUGCAUUAUUUGACGUUACCUACAGAAGAAGCACCGGCUAACUCCGUGCCAGCAGCCGCGGUAAUACGGAGGGUGCGAGCGUUAAUCGGAAUUACUGGGCGUAAAGCGCAUGCAGGCGGCCUGUUAAGUCAGAUGUGAAAGCCCGGGGCUUAACCUCGGAAUUGCAUUUGAAACUGGCAGGCUAGAGUCUUGUAGAGGGGGUAGAAUUUCAGGUGUAGCGGUGAAAUGCGUAGAGAUCUGAAGGAAUACCAGUGGCGAAGGCGGCCCCCUGGACAAAGACUGACGCUCAGAUGCGAAAGCGUGGGGAGCAAACAGGAUUAGAUACCCUGGUAG